This 63-nucleotide transfer RNA is filed under the name Luperomorpha xanthodera. Its description in RNAcentral is "tRNA-Asp". The record is from RNAcentral. Lineage: Eukaryota; Metazoa; Arthropoda; Insecta; Coleoptera; Chrysomelidae.
AAAAAUUUAGUUAAAAAAUAACAUUAGUUUGUCAAACUAAAAUUAUCAUAAUGAUAGUUUUUU